RNAcentral lists this ribosomal RNA (443 nucleotides) under uncultured bacterium. RNAcentral describes it as "partial 16S ribosomal RNA". It matches the Rfam family "Bacterial small subunit ribosomal RNA", at positions 338 to 795 of the family's 1533-position model. The record is from RNAcentral.
CCUACGGGAGGCAGCAGUGAGGAAUAUUGGUCAAUGGGCGAGAGCCUGAACCAGCCAAGUCGCGUGAGGGAGUACUGCCCUAUGGGUUGUAAACCUCUUUUGUCAGGGAAGAGUAGAAGACGGUACCUGACGAAUAAGCCACGGCUAACUACGUGCCAGCAGCCGCGGUAAUACGUAGGUGGCAAGCGUUGUCCGGAUUUACUGGGUGUAAAGGGCGUGUAGCCGGGUUGACAAGUCAGAUGUGAAAUCCUGCGGCUUAACCGCAGAACUGCAUUUGAAACUGUUGAUCUUGAGUACUGGAGAGGCAGAUGGAAUUCCUAGUGUAGCGGUGAAAUGCGUAGAUAUUAGGAGGAACUCCGAUUGCGAAGGCAGCUUACUAAACUGCCACUGACAUUGAUGCUCGAAAGUGUGGGUAUCAAACAGGAUUAGAUACCCUAGUAGUC